AGUGAACGCUGGCGGUAGGCCUAACACAUGCGAGUCGAACGGCAGCACAGUAAGAGCUUGCUCUUACGGGUGGCGAGUGGCGGACGGGUGAGGAAUACAUCGGAAGCUACUUUUUCUUGGGGGAUAACGUGGGGAAACUUACGCUAAUACCGCACACGACCUACGGGUGAAAGCAGGGGAUCUUCGGACCUUGCGCGAUUCAAUGAGGCGAUGUCGGAUUAGCUAGUUGGCGGGGUAAAGGCCCACCAAGGCGACGAUCCGUAGCUGGUCUGAGAGGAUGAUCAGCCACACUGGAACUGAGACACGGUCCAGACUCCUACGGGAGGCAGCAGUGGGGAAUAUUGGACAAUGGGCGAAAGCCUGAUCCAGCCAUACCGCGUGUGUGAAGAAGGUCUUCGGGUUGUAAAGCACUUUUGGUGGGAAAGAAAAGCAGUAGGUUAAUACCUUGCUGUUUUGACGGUACCAAAAGAAUAAGCACCGGCUAACUUCGUG
RNAcentral lists this ribosomal RNA (492 nucleotides) under uncultured bacterium. Its description in RNAcentral is "partial 16S ribosomal RNA". It matches the Rfam family "Bacterial small subunit ribosomal RNA", at positions 29 to 507 of the family's 1533-position model. The record is from RNAcentral.